RNAcentral lists this ribosomal RNA (307 nucleotides) under uncultured Gammaproteobacteria bacterium. RNAcentral describes it as "bacterial SSU rRNA". It matches the Rfam family "Bacterial small subunit ribosomal RNA", at positions 201 to 490 of the family's 1533-position model. The record is from RNAcentral. Lineage: Bacteria; Pseudomonadati; Pseudomonadota; Gammaproteobacteria.
CCAAAGAGGGGAUCUUCGGACCUCUCGCGUCAAGAUAUGCCUAGGUGGGAUUAGCUAGUUGGUGAGGUAAUGGCUCACCAAGGCGACGAUCCCUAGCUGGUCUGAGAGGAUGAUCAGCCACACUGGAACUGAGACACGGUCCAGACUCCUACGGGAGGCAGCAGUGGGGAAUAUUGCACAAUGGGCGAAAGCCUGAUGCAGCCAUGCCGCGUGUAUGAAGAAGGCCUUCGGGUUGUAAAGUACUUUCAGUUGUGAGGAAGGGUGUGUAGUUAAUNNNNGCGCAUCUUGACGUUAGCAACAGAAGAAG